Molecule: long non-coding RNA, 1150 nt
Organism: Cyprinus carpio carpio
Lineage: Eukaryota; Metazoa; Chordata; Actinopteri; Cypriniformes; Cyprinidae
Source: Ensembl
GAAUAAUCAUUUAACAUGCUAUAAAGUUGUGUUGUCUAACAUACUAAAGCACAUGUAGAGUACUAGAUUAUUAUUUAACUGUAGUGUGUUAAUGGACAUUACCUUUAAAGUUAAUAUUUUUGGAAUAUAGUAAAUGACAAAAUACACGGCACACAAGAAUCAAGAGAAAUGACAUUCAUAAAACCUUGUCAGUACAUUCACCAGCACUUUAACCAAAGACAAUAGAAUUAUGAAAUUACAUAUAACGAUGUUCUCAAGCCCUCUCAACACUCAGAGAUCAGCUAACUGCAUUUAAUAUACAUUUACACUACAGCUUCAUUUAAAUUUGGUUAAUAUGCAAUAAAGACUCAGAAUACAGACUACAUUCAGUUCAAACUUUACUAUAUUCUUUUAAAGCAUAUUAUUUCUAUAAUUAAUGAUUUAUUUUAAAAGUAUGCUAAUAUGUGCUUCUAUUGUGCUCAUCAAAUAAAAGUGUUUUCCAGGACGUGAAGUGAACGGCUCUAUUGGCCCGCUGAGCGUCUGUCCAGUCACUGCAGUCCAGCAGGAUUCUCACGCCUGAAUCUGACCGUCAGCCAGCCGCGCUCACGUCUCCAGUAACUCCAUACUGCCUGCGUUCUCAAUCCCAGAGCGUGAAUUUAACUUCAUACCUCACUGAUGAAAAGGACAUUGUGAUCCAGGGUUCAGAACUCUAUGCUUUCUGUUUGCUUUAAUGAGAAAAUCACUGGAGCUGCCUUGAAAUGUCAUAUUUGUUGCUUUUGUAUCAGACUGUGCCAAUAAUUGCAGAAUAUCCCAGAUGUUCAGUGUUGCAGAUCUGAUGUCUUACAGAGCGAGUCGAGUGUCGAUCGGCGCCAGGUUAGCAGUACAGCCCUCGAGUCUGUGUGGGUUUAUCAGGACGCUGCUAUAUCAGGCUCUUGUCUGCUUUUAUCUUCUGACCUCGCAGAGCCUGUGGGAGUGAAUUCCAGACACGUGAUGACAGAAGAGGACUCACUGAAGAUCUGCUGCAUGUCUCCUGGACGGCUCAGGAAUGAAUAUCCUCUGAGACAUUCACUGUUGGAGCAACACGACCUCAGAUGUGUGACAAACUCCUCUAAAAUCAGGUGUUUACUCUUCUGAGACGUCUGAGGAUUGCAGCUGAUGGACAUUAAACGAG